RNAcentral lists this transfer RNA (66 nucleotides) under Sitona obsoletus. RNAcentral describes it as "tRNA-Glu". It matches the Rfam family "tRNA". From Rfam's summary of the family: Transfer RNA (tRNA) molecules are approximately 80 nucleotides in length. Their secondary structure includes four short double-helical elements and three loops (D, anti-codon, and T loops). Further hydrogen bonds mediate the characteristic L-shaped molecular structure. tRNAs have two regions of fundamental functional importance: the anti-codon, which is responsible for specific mRNA codon recognition, and the 3' end, to which the tRNAs corresponding amino acid is attached (by aminoacyl-tRNA synthetases). tRNAs cope with the degeneracy of the genetic code in two manners: having more than one tRNA (with a specific anti-codon) for a particular amino acid; and 'wobble' base-pairing, i.e. permitting non-standard base-pairing at the 3rd anti-codon position. The record is from RNAcentral. Lineage: Eukaryota; Metazoa; Arthropoda; Insecta; Coleoptera; Curculionidae.
AUUUAAAUAGUUUAAAAAAAACAUUACAUUUUCAUUGUAAAAUUAGAAUUCUAUUUCUUUUAAAUA